Molecule: ribosomal RNA, 468 nt
Filed under: uncultured bacterium
Lineage: Bacteria
Description: partial 16S ribosomal RNA
Rfam family: Bacterial small subunit ribosomal RNA
Source: RNAcentral
GAUGAACGCUGGCGGCGUGCUUAACACAUGCAAGUCGAACGGAAAGGCCAGUGCUUGCACUGGUACUCGAGUGGCGAACGGGUGAGUAACACGUGGGUGAUCUGCCCUGCACUUCGGGAUAAGCCUGGGAAACUGGGUCUAAUACCGGAUAGGACAAUGGUUUGGAUGCCGUUGUGGAAAGUUUUUUCGGUGUGGGAUGAGCUCGCGGCCUAUCAGCUUGUUGGUGGGGUAAUGGCCUACCAAGGCGUCGACGGGUAGCCGGCCUGAGGGGGUGUACGGCCACAUUGGGAAUGAGAUACGGCCCAGACUCCUACGGGAGGGAGCAGUGGGGAAUAUUGCACAAUGGGGGCAAGCCUGAUGCAGCGACGCCGCGUGGGGGAUGGCGGCCUUCGGGUUGUAAACUCCUUUCGCUAGGGACGAAGCGUAUUUGUGACGGUACCUGGAGAAGAAGCACCGGCUAACUACGUG